UACGGGGGGAGCAAGCGUUGUUCGGAUUACUGGGCGUAAAGGGCGCGUAGGCGGCGUGACAAGUCACUUGUGAAAUCUCCGGGCUUAACUCGGAGCGGCCAAGUGAUACUGUCGUGCUAGAGUGCGGAAGGGGCAACCGGAAUUCUUGGUGUAGCGGUGAAAUGCGUAGAUAUCAAGAGGAACACCUGAGGUGAAGACGGGUUGCUGGGCUGACACGUGACGCUGAGGCGCGAAAGCUAGGGUAGCAAACGGG
Molecule: ribosomal RNA, 253 nt
Filed under: uncultured bacterium
Lineage: Bacteria
Description: partial 16S ribosomal RNA
Rfam family: Bacterial small subunit ribosomal RNA
Source: RNAcentral